AUUGAACGCUGGCGGCAUGCCUUACACAUGCAAGUCGAACGGUAACAGGUUAAGCUGACGAGUGGCGAACGGGUGAGUAAUGUAUCGGAACGUGCCCAGUUGUGGGGGAUAACUGCUCGAAAGAGCAGCUAAUACCGCAUACGACCUGAGGGUGAAAGCGGGGGAUCGCAAGACCUCGCGCAAUUGGAGCGGCCGAUAUCAGAUUAGGUAGUUGGUGGGGUAAAGGCUCACCAAGCCGACGAUCUGUAGCUGGUCUGAGAGGACGACCAGCCACACGGGGACUGGGACACGGCCCAGACUCCUACGGGAGGCAGCAGUGGGGAAUUUUGGACAAUGGGCGCAAGCCUGAUCCAGCCAUGCCGCGUGCGGGAAGAAGGCCUUCGGGUUGUAAACCGCUUUUGUCAGGGGAGAAACGCUCUGGGUUAAUACCCUGGGGUAAUGACGGUACCUGAAGAAUAAGCACCGGCUAACUACGUGCCAGCCGCCGCCGUAA
Molecule: ribosomal RNA, 493 nt
Filed under: uncultured bacterium
Lineage: Bacteria
Description: partial 16S ribosomal RNA
Rfam family: Bacterial small subunit ribosomal RNA
Source: RNAcentral